CGUUAAUCGGCAUUAGUAAUUACCUAGAUUGAAAGGCCGUGUCGAUAAAUCGUGGAAGACACCACUCGGUAACGGAACUGAUGAACUUAUUACAUAUAAACAACAGCUGAUUACAGAAUGGAGCUACUGUAAGAAUGAAUGAGGUUAGUGAGUAUCCGCAUUAAGUGACCCCGGUAACACAAUGAUG
Long non-coding RNA from Neodiprion virginianus, 187 nucleotides. RefSeq lists it as uncharacterized. The record is from RefSeq and is a predicted model, not a curated record. The transcript is spliced from 2 exons. Lineage: Eukaryota; Metazoa; Arthropoda; Insecta; Hymenoptera; Diprionidae.